AGGCAGUCGGUAACUAGGUAGAGGUGUCCUCGUAGAUUUAUCCCUUUUGUAGGUAUCUCAGCAUUCAAUUGAUGUACUUUCACCUGGGUCUCUCCCUUGGAAGUUGACUAUUUCUUUUGUUGUGUAUAGACAAACCCGAUGUAAAUUAUAAAGAUGUAUGUUUUAGACAAUAUACGUAUAUUUCGAUUGGUAAUUCCACUAUGAGUUGGCAAUGGUUAGCAUUAUUUUGAAUUGGAAUUAUGAAAUGUGACUAUAGGAACUUUUGAUGGAAUGAUGAACAGGUCAUAUAAUAGGCUUGCUUGGGCUCAGUGGGCUAUGCCCAUCGGGCCUAUGCAACGGCAAUGGCUCGAAAACUGGGCUGCGACACUAAGGACGAGGUACAAGUCGAUCCAAAAAAAGUUGAGGCAGUGGAAAAGGGGCCAAGGCCAACAUCAGUUACAAAGAUUAGAAGCUUUUUGGGUUUGGCUAGCUAUUAUCGUCGUUCUGUGAAGGAUUUCUCCAAAAUAGUCAUACCUCUGAGUACGCUGACAUAUAAAGAUACAAAAUUUGAGUGGUUAGAUGCCUGUGAGGAUAGCUUAAGGCAUGUCUCACCACAACUCCAGUAUUAAGCCUACUGCAAGGCACUAGGGGUUAUACGAUAUUUUUUGAUGCAUCGCGGGUUGGUUUAGGGUGUGUAUUAAUGCAACAUGGGAAGGUGAUUGUGUAUGCAUCAAGGCAACUUAAAAGGCAUGAGCAGAAUUACCCCGCACACGAUUUGGAGAUGGCAACAAUCGUGUUUGCCUUAAAGAUUUGGAGACAUUACUUGUAUGGUGAGAAUUGCGAGAUAUAUAUGGACCACAAAAGCCUAAAGUAUAUAUUUCAACAAAGGGAUCUUAACUUGUGACAACGUAGGUGGAUGGAGUUGCUAAAGGAUUAUGAUUGUACUAUUCUUUACCAUUCCGGUAAGGCAAAUGUAGUGGCAGAUGCCUUCAGUCAAAAAUCAAUGGGGAGCUUGGCACAUAUCUUUGCAAAUAGGAGAUCCUUGAUUAUGGAGAUGCAUAGCUUGGGAGAUAUGGGUGUGCAUUUGGAAGUUUGAAAGGCAAAUGCAUUGCUAGCAUAUUUCAGAGUAAAGGCUAUCUUAAUGGACUGGAUUAAAAAAGUAGAAAGUAAAGAUGAGUUCGUAGCUAAGGCCUUAGAGGACCCUUAAGGAAGGAAAUGAGAGAUGUUUACUAAAGGCAUAAAUGGAGUAUUGAGGUAUGGAACCAGACUUUAUGUGCUUGAUAGUGAUGAAUUAAUGAGAGAAUAUAUUGGAGGAGGAGCACAUGGCAGCCUAUGUGGUACAUCCGCAGGCUACAAAGAUGUAUCAAGAUUUGAAAAAGGUAUAUUGGUGGGAAAGACUUAAGAAAGAUGUAGUUGAGUUUGUCUCCAAGUGCUUGGUUUGUCAGUAGGUUAAGGCCGAGCAUCAAAGGCUUGGAGGGCUACUACAACCAUUAUUAGUGCCCGAAUGGAAGUGGGAGUAUGUUGCAAUGGACUUUGUAAUGGGCUUGCCUUAAACUAGUAGGGGCUAUGACUAGAUUUGGAUCAUUGUAGACCGGUUAACAAAGUCAGCUCAUUUUUUUCCAAUUAAGACUACUUACGGGGUUGCCCAAUAUGCUCGAGUUUAUGUGGAUGAGAUAGUACGACUGCAUGGUAUCCCCAUUUCUAUAGUAUCUGACAGAGGAGCACAUUUCACCAGUAGGUUCUGGGGAAAGUUGCAGGAAGCGUUGGGCACUAAGUUGGAUUUCAGCAUGGCUUUCCACCCUCAGACUGAUUUGCAAUCUAAACGAACAAUACAAACAUUAGAAGAUAUGUUGAGGGCAUUGUAAUAGACCUUGGGGUCAAAUGGAAUUGGUAUCUACCCUUAGUGGAGUUUGCUUACAACAAUAGUUUCCAAGCUAGCAUCCAAAUGGCACCAUUUGAAGCAUUAUAUGGACGGAGGUGUAGUCACUCAUUGGAUGGCUAGAGGUAGGAGAAAGGAAACUCUUUGGGCCAAAAUUUGUACAGGAUGCCAUCAAGAAAGUAGGCAUGAUUCGUUAGAGGAUGUUAUCAGCAUAAAGUAGACAAAAGUCAUAUGCUGAUAAUAGACGGAGAGACUUAGAGUUUCAGGUGAGAAAUCAUGUAUUUUUGAAGGUCUCAUUAACAAAAAGGGUAAUGAGGUUCAGCAAGAAAGGAAAAUUAAGUCCUCGGUAUAUAGGACCUUUUGAAAUCUUAGAAAGGGUUAGAGUAGUGGCUUAUCGUUUGACGCUACCACCAGACCUCUCAAAUAUUCACCCUGUAUUCCAUGUGUCAAUGCUUAGGAAGUAUAACCCAGAUCCAUCUCAUGUAAUAUGGUAUGAAACCAUCCAAUUGCAAGAUGAUUUAACCUAUGAGGAGCAACUAGUGGCUAUCCUUGAUAAGCAAGUCAAAAAGCUCUGUUCAAAGGAAGUAGCAUUAGUGAAAGUGUUAUGGCGAAGCCACACCAGCUUAGAGGUAACGUGGCAAACCAAUGAGGAGAUGCAAGCAAAGUAUCCACACCUCUUUAAUAAAUAAAGGUAUGUUACCUUAUAGUUUGAUUUAAAUUCGAGGACUGAAUUUUUUUUAGCGGGGGAGAAUGUGAGACCUUGAUCUUUAUAGACUCGUAGCUAGAAGUAGACGCGAUAUGACAAACUAGGGGUAAUUUCAUCAUUUCCUUAUUGAGCCCCUAGAAGUAUGCUUUCAAACAAUAUUAAGGCUUACGUAGGCCUAAGGCAUAAAUGAAUGAUGAAAAUAAGGAUAAAAUGACAAAGGAAAUAGAAAUAAUGAUGAUUUCCUAGGUAGGGGCAAAAUGGUCAUUUUUCAUCUCGAGUCAAAAUUUUUAAGUUUUUGUGAACUCUAGUAUUUCUAGACUAUUAUGGACUUUGUCUUAGUGUUAAAAGAGUAAAAAGAUUGCAUAAAGGAUUGGAGGAAGACAAAGCCAACUUGUUAAGGGCAUUUUCGUAAUUUAAGUGGAGUUUGGAUAAGCUUUAGCUAUAAUUCUCAUUUUCUAGCAGCAUCUUCUUCUUCUUCCUCCAAUCUCACGUUUCUUUCACCCUCCAUGGAAGCUUGUUUUGAAACCUCCAUAACUUCUCUCAAGUUAGCUCGAAUUUUCAUGCUUUUGUGCACUUUUUCAUAGAACCUUUUGUGCUCUUUCACUCUCUCACUUUAAAACCCUUGAAAAGUCUUACUUCCAUACUUCCUCUCACUCGCUAGGUGUUUUAGAGACAGAAAGAGGGAGCUUCUAUAAUAGCUUGAAAAUUUUGGAAAGAAAUUCAAUUACAAAGCUACGAAGGUGAGUGGUGAAUUAGAGUUAAUUUUUUAGUUGUUGAAAAUGGCUAAUGGAUAGAUUUGUGAAUGUUUUGUAGUUGAGGAUAUUUAUUCAUCUUUAGUGUGAUUAGAAUAGUGAAAGUAAAUAGCCGCUUAAUGGCAAUUGGAAGCUAGUUAUGGAUAACUAGUAGAACAUGAUUUAGGAGAUAGCUUUUAGAAUUAUGGUUAUGUGAAUUGAGUUGAUUUGUGAUGCUAUUCUGUAUGAUAGGUUCCAACGAGACCCCACAUCUCCAUUCAGAGCAUUAGUGGAAGUUGGAGUCAAUCUAAGAUUCAACAAAUAUCGGUGAGUGAACUUGCAUUUCAAAAUGUUUUGGAAAGUGCCUACAUGUUUAAAUAAAUCAUUUGAAAGUUUCGUUUGUUUUGUUUUAAAAAUACACUUGGGGAACAAGCCCUUGAUGAAAUGUUUCUAUCUUGUGAAAUGUGCAAUAUGAAUAGUUCAUGUGUUCUCACAUUAUAUUGAUAUGUACAUUAUGCUUUGGAAGCUCUUUUUGUGUGAUAAUGAUGACCCAGCUAUGUGCGGUGUGGGAGUGCACAUGAGUUGACGAAUGACCUAGCUAUGUGCGGUGUGGGAGUGCACAUGAGCUGAUGAUAAUGAUAUUGCAUUAUGUGUGUAGGGAGUGCACACGAGCUGUGUGGCGGGAUGGUAUGCAUGAUGAUGUAUGUAUAUAUAUAUAUAUGUAAUAGAAAGUUUAUGAAAAUAAUUGUGAUUGUGUUGUAUGUUGGCAUUGUUAAUUUAUACCAAAUUGCUUUUCAUUUCAGCAUGAAAAUGGAUUUUUGAUGUAACAAUACCCCUUUUCACUAAAUUGCUCUGUUUCUCGCUGUAGCGAGAAACUCUCGAGUUGGGGGGGGGGUUACAUUGGCCUGGUUCUCACUGCAGCGAGAAAUUUGUUGAAGCUUCUCACUGCAGCGAGAAACUCUCGGGUGGUUUUAAGAUUCUGGUGCAAUGCUUUCACUUCAACAAAGAUUUUGACUACCUUCAUAUCAGAACUGGGAAAAAUGGUAAAUAGAAAAGUUGUAGCCCAGCCUCUUAGAUUUACAAUGACCCACAAAUCAUGUCAAUUUAACUUCUGUAGUGGGUGUUAUGCUUAAAAAACCGAAGCAUAUGCAAACUAAGACUACCUGUUCGCUACAGCGAGAAAACCCUCUGUUUGCUUGUCUUGCUUGGUCAUUGCUGAAAUUUUCAUUCUAUUCCACUUCAUGGUUGAUCAUGGAUCUUGUAACAUUAAGGGAUUAAACAUUCAAAGUUUGGAAUGAGGGGUUUUUAACCAAAACUUAGACUACAUUGCAUGGUUUUAUCGUAAGUGCAUCAUGUUUUCUAAAACAUUCCUUAGUGUUGCUUGUUCUCUUCUUAUGUUCACUCAUUGAGUUUAUACUCACUUUUUUAAAUUGCAUGCUUUCAAAUCUGUAGAUAAUUGGGACCGAAACUAAGGCGUCCACUUGCAUUCACUAUUGGCAGGUAUCAUGGCAUUCGAUAGCUGUACCCUCACCAAAGUCACUCCGCUUGUCUUUAGAAGUCUUUUAUAUGAGUACAUGUACAUUAAAUGUAAAUUUCUAGGAAUAACUUGCCAACGAUGCAUGUAUAGUUUGGAAUGAUGGUGCCAUUAUGAGAUGGCUAUGAAUAACCUUAUUUUGAGAUCAAACAAAUGUAAAUUUUUGGUAUCGAUGCUAUAUUAUAAAAAUACGUCCAGUUGCAAAUUAUAAAUGGUGAUCUAGUAAUGGUGAUGAAAAAAUUGAUGGGAUAGUGAACUGGAUUACGUAAAAAAGUUUGCUUAGGCUUAGUGGGCUACGUCCACUAGGCCCAUGAGUCGAUCAUGGCCUAAAAUUUGGGUCGUCACAAGUAUGAUCUUAAUUGACCAACCACGUAUCUUGGUCGACUAAAUGUUCUCUGUUUCUCAAUCCUUUUGAGCCCUUGAACUUCUAAUUUGAAUUUUAGCUAACAAACACCCUUUGUUUUUUAUUAAAAGGCUUCUGUUUCGUUGAUCAAUUGUGGCUCCUUAUUCUUAUUAUUUUUGAUAUGUGCCUUUGAAUAAUUAAUUUAUUAUUAGCAUACAAUUUUUGUCCUGCACACUCAAGUAGAAAUAUUAGACACAAAUAAAUGGGAAUGUUUUAUUAUCAUGAAAAACUAAUGGAGCCAACAAUCUCCCCCCUUUUGAUGAUGGUAAAACAUUCCUUGAUUAAUAGCAUAGUGUCUAUUUAUUUCUUUUUAUUUUGCACAGAAUGAGGAUUUUCUCCCCUUAAGUGUGUGCUCCCCCUUAUUGUAUGCAUGAUUCUUGUUCUUAAAUUUAGUAAGUUUUUAUCUAUCUCUUAAAAAAAAUGAUAGGUAUAGAUUCAAAUAUCAUCAAUGUUGUAAUUAACUAUCUAUCAUAUUAUUUCCAAACCUUAUUCGUUUCAAAACUAAAUGCCAUAAACCAUCCAACAAAAAUAUUAGCAUUCAUAUUCAUUUUCAACCAAAUUCCAUUCACAAUAUCAUAACAAAAAUUACUUAUCAGCAUAAUAGCCUAGUAUCAGCACCCAAUCUUUGAACAGCAACAAUCAAAAUUACAUAAAUAUCAAGAACAAAUUUAAAUGUUUAACCAUCAGCUUACAAUUUUCAACACUAUAACAUAAACAGCAAAGUCAAAUUCAAAUGUUCAACUGUCAGCAAACAAAAACAACUUAAUCAUUAUAGUUAGAGUUCCUAAAUUACCCCUAAAUCAUUUCUACCUUCCCUUAAAACUUAUUUACUUUCGAUUUCCCCCAAGCUUUCUAUCAUAAUUCUCCCCCUUUUUGUCAUCAUCAAACAGAAGUGUGUUUAAUCAGUUUUUGAAUUAGCAGAAGGGGGAGACUCAUCAGUUCCAAAGUAGACAGUAAGGGGUUCAAGAGAGGGUUCAGGUGAUGGUCUUUUGGGUGAGGCUUCAGGAGAAGAUUGGUCUGAAAUUUACAGUGGAUCUUAUGUAAAGAAGAUGGCUGAGGGUUUGGCUCUUUCAGCUAUCUUGGAAAACUUUCUUCGCUUGAGGAAUUUGGUUUUUGUUGCCAUGGUCUUCCUUCCUUUACCAAGUGGUUUAGUUCUUUUUUGUGUUGGUGCAGCAGCUUUUCCUUUGUUUUUGCCAGAUUGGUCAGCCUGCCCUAUAGUGUGCAUUGGCUUAAAGGAUGCUCUGACAGAUGCUGGCUUCUGAGCUUUAACCUUUGCUGCUAUUUUCUCUGCCUAUUCUUCUUGAACCAUUUGAUAAAAAAUAUGCAUGAUUGACACUUCCUCAGAGUUAGGUGGAGAUGGCUGUUCUGGCUAUGUCUCGUCAUGGGGUGGAGAGAUGUCAUCAAAGGAUCCAAGUACUUCAGUGCCUUAAUUGGAUUUUUCAUCAUUUUCAGGCUCAAAAGUGGGAGAUUUCCACGACUGAACUAAUUUUUGUUCAUGACCUUCAGGCUCGAAGGUAGGACUUUCAGUAGCUUGUUAUGCUAGUGCUGGACUUGCUGUUGCAGAGGUGUCUUCAGCUUCAAGAACAUUAAUAAAUUUUUCUUUUUCCUUUACCACACUUUUCAGCUCUUUCAACUUAUCUUCAAUUUGCUGAAUCUUUGUAUGCUGGUCAGUGAGUUUUUCAUCAAUUCUCAUUAGCAGAUUUAGAAUCAUUUCACUUGAAAUCUGUGAUGAAGCGACCUUUGACUGAGCAGGAAGGGAAUGCUCAUCUUUUGGAGUUUUUCAUCAAUUCUCAUUAAUAGGUUUUGAUCAAGCUUGUACCCCAUCUUUAGCAGACUUUUUAAGUAAAUUCCUUGGUCUCUUCUUUUUACUUGAUCAAUUUCAUACCUUGAACUCCAUAUUCCCUUUUUCUUCACUAGUGUUGUGAUUUUAUUUCCAUACGGCAAGUUUAGUUUAUCAAUUCGACAGGCCCCUUUCAUCCUUUCUAUCAUGAAUUAGCCUAAGUUGAGUGGAGCAACAUUGAAGGCAUGCUCCAUUAGCCACAUGUCCUGAAGACUUACAUAGCUGAAGCUACCAUUUCUCCCAUGAAUAUUUGCAACAAUAAAGUAAUGCAGGAUUCUAAUCUGAGGGCUUUUGAUGAGAUCGGUAUUACUUUUGGAUGAAUAUCUUUCUUUCUUUCCUAUAAUUAUCUCCCAUAGAGAUGAGGGAUCUUAAUUUUCAGGAAUUUCAUAAUCACCCUCUUCACAUUCAAUUUUGAGCAGACUUCCUGAAUCUGCAGCAGUCACCACAAACUCUUUUCCAUUUAGGAAGAUAUUCAGACCAUCAUUAAUGAAAUCCUCAAAAUCCUCAAGUUCAUUCUCAUCUAAUGCUAUGCUUGCACAAAACUCUUUUACUAGGCUAGCAUUAUAGGUUAUGUUCUUAAAAGUGCUAAAUUUCUUCAAUAUCAUUUCUUCAAAAUAAUCUGAUAAACGUACUUGAAUUUUAGGGGUCUCAUAAAAGCUAUCCCAAUUGAUAAAUUUGCCACAUGUAAUCGGAGCAUUUUCUAUUGUUUUAAACCUAUCUUCAUGAGCUUUAUUCCUAAAUUUUGAGGACGAAAUAUUACCUUUCUUGAAGAGUUUUCCUUUUUCUUUAUUUUUCUCUAAUUUGUGUUCCUUCUCUAUCUCCUUUUCCCAAUUUUCUCAACCACAGAAGCAGACACAAUUUUCUUCUUGUUCUUCUGAAUUUCUGUUGGUGGACUCUCUUCCAUUGGUCGUUUUCCCCUUUUCUUUUCCAAAGCAUUAUUGGGAAAUGUGGUUUUGGCCAUAGAUUUUGAACAGUUUUAGACUUAGCGUUUAGGGGUUAGAGAGAAACGGGAUUUCGAUUUUGCAAAGUAGAGGCUUCUGGUAGAAGAGAAUGAAGGAUGUGGAUGAGGAGUUAUGAGAAAUCGUCUGACUCCCCCUUUUUAAAUGUUGUCAGUUUUUCUCUUUUUCAAAAUUUAAAACUUUGCCUCUCAUUUUUAUUUUUCAGUUAAGCGGUAUUUUCUGCCCAUUUCUUCACCCGAUAGACUAUCUCUGUUUCUUUUUAUUAUUUUAUUCAUUCUAUCUUGGUUUCUUAACUAAUUAAGUCUUAUCUAUUUUUGACUGAGUCUUAUUAUUUAAGCAAACAGAAUCCUCUUAGUUGGUUAAGUGAUUCUCUUAGUCAACUAAGUGUCUACUAUUUUAUGAAUGAAAAUCUCAACAGUUUUCGUAAAGCUCCUGUACAUUAAUCAUUCCUAGAUUUCUCUUAAUUUCAUAGAAUCUUGCCUCAUUCAUGGGCUUGGUAAAUAUAUCAGUCAAUUGUUGCAAGGUGUUAACAAACUCAAUCUUAAUGUCUCAUUCAAUCACAUGGUCUCUAAUAAAAUGAUGUUUAAUUUCAAUAUGUUUGGUCCUAGACUGCUGAAUAGGAUUCUUUGAGAUGUUGAUGGCACUUAUGUUAUCACAAAAUAUUGGUACAUUAUGCAUUGUUACUCCAAAGUCUUUUAAUUGUUGUUUAAUCCAAAAAAUCUGAGCACAGCAGCUUCCUAAAGAAAUAUAUUUAGCUUUAGUUGUGGAGAGUGCAACAGAGUUCUGUUUCUUACUUGACCAAGACACAAGCAUACGUCCUAGAAACUAACAAGUUCCACUAGUACUCUUUCUAUUCAUUUUGCUUCCAGCAAGGUCUACAUUUGAAUAUCCAAUAAGACUAAAGGAUGAUUCUCUAGGAUACCAUAUUCCUAAAGCUUGUGUAUCUAAGAGGUAUCUAAAAAUUCUUUUAACAGCAAUCAAGUGUGAUUCUUUGGGUUGUGAUUGAAAUCGUGCACACAAGCAUACAUUGAAUUGAAUAUCAGGCCUGCUAACUGUUAAAUAAAGUGAUGAUUUAUCAUACCUCUAUAGAGCUUUUGAUCAACACUUUUUCCUUUUUCAUCAGCAUCAAGUUUGGUGGAUGGACUCAUUGGUGUGCUAAUUGAUUUCAGCUUUAGCAUGUUAAACUUUUUCAGCAUGUCUUGAAUAUAUCUUUCUUAGCUAAUGAAGAUUCUUUCCUUACUUUGCUUGAUUUGAAGGCCAAGAAAGAAUUUCAGCUCACCCAUCAUGCUCAUUUCAAAUUCACCCUACAUCUUUUCAGCAAAGUUCAUGCACAAAGCCUCAUUAGUAGCACCAAACACAAUAUCAUCCACAUAGAUUUGAACAACAAUUAAAUCAUUCAAGCAUUUUUUAAUAAACAAUGUUGUAUCAAUGCUUCCUCUAACAUAUCCUUUUUCAACUAGAAACUUUGAAAGCCUCACAUACCAAGCUCUAGGAUCUUGUUUCAAUCCAUAUAAAGCUUAUGUAGUUUGAAAACAAAAUCAGGCUUUUCAAAAUCUUCAAAUCCAAGGGGUUGUUUAACAUAUACUUCCUCUUGGAUGAAACCAUUUAAAAAAGCACUUUUCACAUCCAUUUGGAAUAAUUUGAAGUUCAUGAAACAUGCAAAUGCAAGCAAAAAUCUUAUAGCUUCUAUCCUAGCAACAAGAGCAAAAGUUUCAUCAUAGUCAAUUCCUUCAUCUUGGUUAUACCCUUAAGCCACGAACCUACUUGGUUUCUAAUAACAUUACCUUGCUCAUCUACCUUAUUUCUAAACACCAAUUUUGUGCCAACAAUUGGGUGAUUUAAAGGCCUAGAGACUAAUGACCAUACAAGAUUUCUUUUGAAUUGAUCAAGUUCCUUUUGCAUGGCCAUUAUCCACCUUUCAUUUUUUUCUGUUUCUUCAAAGCUCUUAGGCUUGAUUUGUGAGAUGAAAGCUGAGAACUCACAUGUCUCUCUAAUUCCUCUCCUAGUUUUGACUCCUUGCAUAAGAUCACCAAUGAUUUGUUCCUGUGGAUGAUCUUUUACAUAUCUUUAGCUCUUUGGAAGGUCAUUAUGCUAACUUUCGAUUCUUUGAAGAGUUUAUAAAGAUGGAGUUUUUGUUUCUCUUCUAGUAGAGUUUCCUUCACUGUUUUUUUUAUUUUCUAGACUCAUUUUUUCCAUUUGUCUUUCAAGGUCCUCUACAUCAUAACAAUCAACAAGAACUUCUUUUUGCAAGGCAUUAGAUUCAUCAAAAACUACAUGAAUUGACCCUUCAAUGGCUAAAGUUCUUUUAUUAAAGACUCUAUAAGCCUUUGAGUUCAAUGCAUAUCCUAGAAAUAUCACCUCAUCACUCUUUGCAUCAAACUUUCCUAGUGAAUGUUUUCCAUUGUUUAAUACAAAACAUUUGCAGCCAAAACUUCUAAGGUGAGAGAUGUUUGGUUUUCUACCUUUGUAAAGCUGAUAUGGGGUUUUUGAUAUCAUGGCUCUUAUUGAAACUCUAUUAAGAAUGUAGGUUGCUGUGUUGACAACUUCUACCUAAAAAUACUUUGGUAGAUUGUUUUCACACAACAUGGUUCGAGCCAUUUCCUUUGAGGUUCGAAUUUUCCUUUCUACAACCCCAUUUUACUAAAGUGUUCUAGGAGCUAAAAAAUUAUGAUCUAAUCCUUUUUCAUUGCAAAAGUUUUAAAAGUCAUCUCUUUCAAACUCACAUUCAUGAUCACUCCUAAUGCUAACAAUGAGAAGUCCAUUUUCGUUUUGAACCUUUUUGCAAUGAUUUACAAAUGCAAGUAGAGCAUCAUGUUCAUGAGCAAGGAAAUAGACCCAAGUAUACCUAGAGUAGUCAUCAACUAUCACAAAGCCAUCUGAUUUUCCUCCUAGACUAGUUGUGUUAAUUGGACCAAAUAAAUCAAUAUGCACCAGUUCAAGAGGUCUAGAUGUUGACACAAUCUUCAUGGUUUUGAAGGAUGUUCUAACUUGUUUACCUAGUUGGCAAGCAUCACACAUUUUAUCAUUCUUAAACUUAAGUUCAAGCAAUCCAACGACUAGAUUUUUUCUAAUCAAUUUUGAGAUCGUAUGCAUGCUCACAUGUGCUAGUCUCCUAUGCCAUAACCAGCUAUCAUUUUCUUCAUUUGCCACAAGACACGUUUCAUAAUUUAUCUCAAGAUCUUCAAGGAAUGUAACAUACAUAUUCUUAAUUCUUUUUCCUAUGAAUGAAACUUUGUUAGUACUUAUCUCUAUCACCUCACAUUUGUUUGAAUCAAAGCAUACCUUGAAACCUUUAUCACACAAUUGGCUGAUGCAUAAUAAAUUGUGUUUUAAACCUUUGACCAGCAACAAAUGACUGAUUUGAGCUUAAGAGUUCUUACCAAUGGUUCCUAUACCAUGAAUUCUACCAUUAGAAUCAUCUUCAAAAGGAAUUGUACCUCCCUUUUUCUUGUCUAUCUAAGCGAACAACAUUUCAUUUCAAGUCAUGUGUCUUGAGCAGCCACUGUCCAUAUACCAUGGUUCCUUCUCCUUUGGGUGUCUUUUCUAGUUGGCUCAACCUACAAAAUAAAUUUUCAGUUUUUCUUAACAAGUACCCAUACCUUGAUGGGUCCUUGAAGGUUAGUUGUGUGAUACCCCAACUUCUAUAGGCUUGUAACUAAGUAUAGAUGUAAUAAUAUAGGCUAGGGGUAGUUUCAUCAUUUUCUCUAAUAAGCUUCUAGAAGAAAGUUUUAGGAUAUUUUAAGGCCUAAAUAGGCAUAAGACAAUAUAAAUGAUGUGUGCUGAUGAAAACACGAAGAAAACUAGAAGUUUCAACAAUUUUCAUAAUAGGGGCAAAAUGAUCAUUUUUCACCUCGGGUUAAAAUUUAUGUUUUUAUGAACCCGAGUAUGUUUAGACCAUUAUGGAUCUUGUCCCAGUGUUAAAAGAGCAAAAAGAUUGCAUAAAAGAUUGGAAGAGAAUAAGUUAAUUGGUGGAAGGGCAUUUUCGUAAUUUUAUGGGAAUGGACAAGUUGGCCUAUAAAUAUUUGGAAAUUUCCAGCACCUUCUUGAAUUUCUAGCAGCUGGUCUUCUUCUUCUCCUCUCUCAUGUUUCUUCAAAACUUCAUGGAACCUUGUUUUGAAGCUUGAGUGAUUUUCUCUCUCUAGCUCUAGUUUCCACACCUUUGAACCCUUUUGACUAGAACCUUUGAAUGCUUUCAUCCUCUCACUUUAAAACCCUUCAAAAAUCAGGUUUUCACACUUUCUGUCACUAGUUGGACCUUCUAGAGAGAGAAAAAGAGAAUUACACCAUUUAUUUGGAAGCAAUUGGAAGGGAAUUUGACUACAAAGGAGCCCUAGGGUAAGUGAUGAACUAAGCUCAAUUUUUAGCUGCAGAAAAUGGCUAGUAAUUGGGAUUUAUGAGCUGUUUUAUUGUUGAGUAUGUUCAUUACUUUUAGUGAUUAAGAUAGUGAACAUAGAUGGCCAUUUAAUGUGGCAAUUGAAAACUAGCUAAGAGAUAGCUUUUAGAGUUCAUAGUGUGUAAAUUGAUCUAUUGUUUAUGUUAAUGUGAUCCUAGGUUUUUAAGGAAGCACCAUCAUUCCAAUUGGAUCAUUAGGGGAAUUUGAGUCAAUUAAAAGUUCUACAAUCAAUUGGUGAGUGGACUACCUUCAAAACUGAUUUUGGGAAUAUGAUGGAUUUGACAAAGUGUUUGAAUGAUUUUAUACAAUUUUUCAUGAAAAUGAAUGCCUUGGGAACAAGCUUUUGAGAAAAGGUUUAUGUUAUGAAAUGUGAUUAUUAUGGAUUUCUAUGUGGCUGCAUUAUGUUGAUAUACAUAUAUGCUUGAGUAUAAUGUUGUGUAAUUAUAUUGACUCGGCUAUGUGCGAGUAGGGAGUGCGCAUAAGCCGAGGAUGACCCGGUUAUGUGCGAGUAGGGAGUGCGCAUAACCCGGUGAUGACCCAGCCAUGUGCGAGUAGGGAGUGCGCAUGAGCUGGUGAUGAUGAUGAUGGGAUGGUGUGAUGAUGAUGAUGGGUAUAUAGAUAUAUAUAUAUAUGUAAAUAUGUGUGUUAUAGGAAAUUGAUGGAUAAUGGGUUAUGGUUGUAAUGCAUGUGAAACUUGACAUGUUAAACCUUGAGAAAUUGUUAUGUGUUUUCAUGUUGGUUUGGACCUUUUGGCAGGGUGGUUUUUCCUUUAGGAGAAAGGUAAAUUUUGCAUUGAUGCCCUGUAUUUCGCUGCAGCGAGAAACUCUCGGGUUUUGAAAGGGUACACUAACCGAAAACUCGCUGUAGCGAGGAUGCAUUUUUGCUACAGCAAGAAUGACACUGUAGCUUCUCGUUGCAGCGAAAUGCAUUCUCGCUGCAGUGAAAAACUUUCUGUUUUCUGGGUUGUAAUUUUGCUGCAGCGAGAAACAUUCUGUUUCUAGGUAAAAAUUUCACUACAGCGAGAUUCAAUCUCGCUGCAGCGAAAAACUUUUUGUUUUGGUCUCUUAUCUUGUCCAAUUGCUGCCCUAUCUUUCACUUCUUUGCUACCAUAUGGGAGCAUGGACUUCCAACAUUAAGGAUUAAAAGAGUUAAGUUUAAAAUGAGGAGGUUUAGUGAGAAACCCUCGGCCAGUUGAGAAACCCUCGUUCGGUUAAUAACUAAAUUCCAACGUCGCUGCAACGAAAAUUCAUUCUCGCUGCAGCGAAGAUUCGUUGUUGUAUUUGACUUGCUUGUGCAAUAUUGAAGCUUUCAUUCUUCAAAUGAUUCGCUAUGUAUGGGUUCAUGAUUUUCAAAUGAUUAAUCACUUAAGGGCUCGAUAAGGGGUUUUAUUAGGAAUGAACCAAAUUGCAUUGUUUUGAAACUAGUGCAUCAUGAUUUUAAAUUUUCCUUUGUUGUUGCUUGUUCCCUUCCUUGUUCACUCACUGGGUUUAUACUCACCAUUUCAAAUUCAUGUUUUCAGAUCACGAGGCAGCCGGUAACUAGGACGAGGUAUCCUUGUAGACCUGUGUCCAUCUUUUGGUAGGUGUCUCGGCAUUCAGUAGCUGUACAUUCAUCCGAGUCCCUCCGCUGGAAGUCAAGUCUUCUUUUUGAGAUGUAUAGGCGAACCUAAUGUACAUUAUUGGAAUACAUGUUGUAGACAAUGUAUGUAUAUAAUAAAUGAGAAAUGCCAAUACGAGUUGGCAAUGUCUAUUACUAUUUUGAUUUUAAGUUUUGAAAAAUGACUUAGCAGUUUAUGAUGGAAUGAUGAA
This 14232-nucleotide long non-coding RNA is filed under the name Theobroma cacao (cacao). Its description in RNAcentral is "long non-coding RNA (TCAC_LNC002513)". Lineage: Eukaryota; Viridiplantae; Streptophyta; Magnoliopsida; Malvales; Malvaceae. The record is from RNAcentral.